Molecule: long non-coding RNA, 316 nt
Filed under: Sarcophilus harrisii (Tasmanian devil)
Lineage: Eukaryota; Metazoa; Chordata; Mammalia; Dasyuromorphia; Dasyuridae
Description: lncRNA (ENSSHAG00000026776.1)
Source: RNAcentral
GUCGGGCAGGGAGUUCCGCCGGCUCUCCCCGGCCCCCCUCAGUAGUAGCGGUUCAGGCUGCGGGUGUCGGGGCGGGGGCGGGGCCGUCGGGCAGGGAGUUCCUCCGGCUCUCCCCGCGCCCCCCCUCAGUAGUAGCGCAGGGAGCUGCGGGUGGCCGGGCCGGGGCCGUCGGGCUGCCCGUUCCGCCGGCUCUCCCCGGCCCCCCUCAGUAGUAGAGGUUCAGGCUGCGGGUGUCGGGGCGGGGGCCGGGCCGGGGCCGUCGGGCAGGGAGUUCCGCCGGCUCUCCCCGCGCCCCACCUCAGCAGUAGCUGUUCAG